Molecule: ribosomal RNA, 701 nt
Filed under: Escherichia coli
Lineage: Bacteria; Pseudomonadati; Pseudomonadota; Gammaproteobacteria; Enterobacterales; Enterobacteriaceae
Description: partial 23S ribosomal RNA
Rfam family: Bacterial large subunit ribosomal RNA
Source: RNAcentral
GGCCCCUAAUCGGGGUUGCGGACAGUGUCUGGUGGGUAGUUUGACUGGGGCGGUCUCCUCCUAAAGAGUAACGGAGGAGCACGAAGGUUGGCUAAUCCUGGUCGGACAUCAGGAGGUUAGUGCAAUGGCAUAAGCCAGCUUGACUGCGAGCGUGACGGCGCGAGCAGGUGCGAAAGCAGGUCAUAGUGAUCCGGUGGUUCUGAAUGGAAGGGCCAUCGCUCAACGGAUAAAAGGUACUCCGGGGAUAACAGGCUGAUACCGCCCAAGAGUUCAUAUCGACGGCGGUGUUUGGCACCUCGAUGUCGGCUCAUCACAUCCUGGGGCUGAAGUAGGUCCCAAGGGUAUGGCUGUUCGCCAUUUAAAGUGGUACGCGAGCUGGGUUUAGAACGUCGUGAGACAGUUCGGUCCCUAUCUGCCGUGGGCGCUGGAGAACUGAGGGGGGCUGCUCCUAGUACGAGAGGACCGGAGUGGACGCAUCACUGGUGUUCGGGUUGUCAUGCCAAUGGCACUGCCCGGUAGCUAAAUGCGGAAGAGAUAAGUGCUGAAAGCAUCUAAGCACGAAACUUGCCCCGAGAUGAGUUCUCCCUGAGACUUAGAGUCUCCUGAAGGAACGUUGAAGACGACGACGUUGAUAGGCCGGGUGUGUAAGCGCAGCGAUGCGUUGAGCUAACCGGUACUAAUGAACCGUGAGGCUUAACCUU